RNAcentral lists this long non-coding RNA (1478 nucleotides) under Sus scrofa (pig). RNAcentral describes it as "lncRNA (ENSSSCG00025044600.1)". The record is from RNAcentral. Lineage: Eukaryota; Metazoa; Chordata; Mammalia; Artiodactyla; Suidae.
AGAGUCUCUUUUCAGGCAGACACUCAACUCUAAUCUUUGUUUCUCUGAUAAUGCAAGAUGCUAAAAAUACUGUUCUAGUUUUCAGAGGUUUCUGCUUGGCUUCUUAGUCUCCUGCCCCAUGCAGCUUUGGAACUCAUUAAACAUCUUGAAGGGAAUAUAGCUGAGUGUGGGGCUCAAUUCUGCAAGUUCUCUUUUCCUUACAGAUUUGGUUCCUCAAUUUCUAAACUCAUCCCUCUGUCCACAUAAGGGGUCCCCAGCAUGACCAAUUUUCCUGUUUCAUCAUAGCAGCCCUAUACCCAGAUUUUUAUUGUCAUGUCAUACUGAGGAGCAACAGUGUACAGUGGGGAAAAACCAAAUGCCAAGUGUGGUUCCACACCUUGGAGCAAUUCCCCUUUAUCUUCCUCACUCACUUCACAUCUAUCCCUUUAGGAGAGCCCUGGCCUUAGCUCUCAUCUUAGAAUAAUUCCCCUCAGCUUUCAUCAAAACUGCCUUCCUUUUAUCAUUUAGCGCUUCACCUAAACGUCACCCCUUAACAAGUUUUUCUCUGACUACCAAAUCUAAGAUAUUCAUUGGUCCCUUCUCCCUAGCACAUCAUUCCAUCUUAUUACAUCACAGCACUCACCAUAGCAUUACAUCAUUGUUGUCAUGUUUAUAUGUUGUCUGUCUGUCUUUCCUCAAUAGAAGGUAAGAUAUAUGAGAACAGAGGUUUUGUUAGUCACAUUUCAAGCUAUGAUGUAGCAUGCUAAGCUAUCACCAUAGUGCUUGCACAUAGUGGGCCCUCCACUGACAUUAGCUGCAUCAACAUUUGAAUGAAUGAAUGAAUGACUGCAUUUGCAACACGGAGGCUCUGAGAUCCUAUCUGUAUUCAUUUGAAUUUAAUUACAUUUGUACAAUUAUUAAAAAUUGAUAGUUACAAAUGUUGGUAAGGGGGCGGAGAACUGGAACUUCAGCACACUGCUGGUGGGUGUGUAAUUUGGAACAAGGACAAUGGUAAACUGGAAAUAUAUGCUAAAUCCAAAAGCAGAACAGAAUCCUGUAUAGCAAUAUGAAGGAACUGACUGCUGCUACAUACAGCAACAUGGGUAGCUCUUACAGAUGUUAUGUUGAGUGAAAGAAAACAGACCCAAAGAACACAUAAUGUAUAAUAACAUUUAUGUGAAAUCAAGGAAGAGGCAAAAGCAAUUGAUGGUAGAGUUCCCCUGGUUGUGCAGCAGGUUAAUGUUACAGCACUGUCACUGCUGUGGCUUGGGUUGCUGAUGUGGCACAGGUUUGGUCCCUAAGAACCUGACUAGUAUCCAUGAGAAUGCGGGUUCCAUCCCUGGCCUCGCUCACUGGGUCAAGGAUCUGGUGUUGCCACAAGCUGUGGCAAAGGUCAUAGAUGUGGCUCAGAUCCUGCAUUGCUUUGGCUGUGCUGUAGGCUGAUAAUUGUAGCUCUGAUUAGACCCCUUGCCCUGGAACUUCCAUAUGCCACAGAUGCA